Long non-coding RNA from Eptesicus fuscus (big brown bat), 471 nucleotides. RefSeq lists it as uncharacterized. The transcript has 2 exons. Lineage: Eukaryota; Metazoa; Chordata; Mammalia; Chiroptera; Vespertilionidae. The record is from RefSeq and is a predicted model, not a curated record.
UGUUAAGUACAGGCAUAUGGUUGUGCUGCCGUCACCACCAUCAUCUCCAUCACUGUUCUCAUCUUCUCCAACUGAAGCUCUGGCCUCACUAAACAACAACACAGCAUCCACCCUCCACCUCUGUGGCUUGGACUUCCAGCACUAUGUUGAAUACAUAUGAUGACCGCAGACAUCCUUGAUUUGUUCCUGAUCUGAAGAAAAACACUUUUGCCUUUUGUCCAUGGAGUAUGAUGUUGGCGAUAGGUUUGUCCUACAUGAUCUUCAUUAUGUUGAGGUGCGUUCCCUCUAUUCACACUUUGCUGAGAGUUGUUAUAAUGAAUGCGUGCUGAGUUUUGUUGAAUACUCUUUCUGCAUCUAUUGUCAUAACCGUGUGAUUUUUAUUCUUUAUUUUGUUUAUGCUGUAUCAUGUUCUUUAUGUGCAGAUACUGUACCAAGAUUACAUGCCUGGAAUAAAUCCCACCUUUUAAUGUG